UACAGAGGGGGCAAGCGUUGUUCGGAAUUACUGGGCGUAAAGGGCGCGUAGGCGGCCUGUUAAGUCGAACGUGAAAUCCCCGGGCUCAACCCGGGAACUGCGUCCGAUACUGGCAGGCUUGAGUGUGGCAGAGGGGGGUGGAAUUUACGGUGUAGCAGUGAAAUGCGUAGAUAUCGUAAGGAAGACCAGCGGCGAAGGCGAGUCUCUGGACAGUUACUGACGCUGAGGCACGAAGGCCAGGGGAGCAAGCGGG
RNAcentral lists this ribosomal RNA (253 nucleotides) under uncultured bacterium. RNAcentral describes it as "partial 16S ribosomal RNA". It matches the Rfam family "Bacterial small subunit ribosomal RNA", at positions 524 to 776 of the family's 1533-position model. The record is from RNAcentral.